Molecule: transfer RNA, 74 nt
Filed under: Culex quinquefasciatus (southern house mosquito)
Lineage: Eukaryota; Metazoa; Arthropoda; Insecta; Diptera; Culicidae
Rfam family: tRNA
About the family: Transfer RNA (tRNA) molecules are approximately 80 nucleotides in length.
Source: Rfam by way of RNAcentral
GGCACGGUAGCACAAUGGCAGUGCACUUCGUUAUCCACAAUGAAGAGGUGUGGGUUCGAGUCCCGCCUUUGCCU